GCAGUCGACGCUUCUUUUUCACCGGAGCUUGCUCCCCGGAAAAAGAAGAGUGGCGAACGGGUGAGUAACACGUGGGUAACCUGCCCAUCAGAAGGGGAUAACACUUGGAAACAGGUGCUAAUACCGUAUAACAAUCAAAACCGCAUGGUUUUGAUUUGAAAGGCGCUUUCGGGUGUCGCUGAUGGAUGGACCCGCGGUGCAUUAGCUAGUUGGUGAGGUAACGGCUCACCAAGGCCACGAUGCAUAGCCGACCUGAGAGGGUGAUCGGCCACAUUGGGACUGAGACACGGCCCAAACUCCUACGGGAGGCAGCAGUAGGGAAUCUUCGGCAAUGGACGAAAGUCUGACCGAGCAACGCCGCGUGAGUGAAGAAGGUUUUCGGAUCGUAAAACUCUGUUGUUAGAGAAGAACAAGGAUGAGAGUAACUGUUCAUCCCUUGACGGUAUCUAACCAGAAAGCCACGGCUAACUACGUGCCAGCAGCCGCGGUAAUACGUAGGUGGCAAGCGUUGUCCGGAUUUAUUGGGCGUAAAGCGAGCGCAGGCGGUUUCUUAAGUCUGAUGUGAAAGCCCCCGGCUCAACCGGGGAGGGUCAUUGGAAACUGGGAGACUUGAGUGCAGAAGAGGAGAGUGGAAUUCCAUGUGUAGCGGUGAAAUGGUAGAUAUAUGGAGGAACACCAGUGGCGAAGGCGGCUCUCUGGUCUGUACUGA
RNAcentral lists this ribosomal RNA (709 nucleotides) under uncultured bacterium. RNAcentral describes it as "bacterial SSU rRNA". It matches the Rfam family "Bacterial small subunit ribosomal RNA", at positions 57 to 743 of the family's 1533-position model. The record is from RNAcentral.